Pelobates cultripes (western spadefoot toad) is the source of this 294-nucleotide non-coding RNA. NCBI's taxonomy places the organism in Eukaryota, Metazoa, Chordata, Amphibia, Anura, Pelobatidae. The record is from the annotation of a GenBank genome assembly.
GAGGAGAGAGAGACUGGAGGAGGAGAGAGACAGAGACUUGGGGAGGAGAGAGAGACUGGAGAGGAGAGAGACUGAGACUAGGGAAGGGGAGAGAGAGAGACUGAGACUGGAGGAGGAGAGAGACUGAGACCUGGGGAGGAGAGAGAGACUGGAGAGGAGAGAGAAACUGGAGAGGAGAGAGCCUGAGACUAGGGAAGGAGAGAGAGAGACUGAGACUGGGGGAGGAGAGAGAGACUGAGACUGGGGGAGGAGAGAGAGAGAGAGACUGGAGGAGAGAGAGAGACACUGGGGGAG